GAUGAACGCUGGCGGCGUGCCUAAUACAUGCAAGUCGAGCGAACAGACGAGGAGCUUGCCCCUCUGACGUUAGCGGCGGACGGGUGAGUAACACGUGGAUAACCUACCUAUAAGACUGGGAUAACUUCGGGAAACCGGAGCUAAUACCGGAUAAUAUAUUGAACCGCAUGGUUCAAUAGUGAAAGACGGUUUUGCUGUCACUUAUAGAUGGAUCCGCGCCGCAUUAGCUAGUUGGUAAGGUAACGGCUUACCAAGGCAACGAUGCGUAGCCGACCUGAGAGGGUGAUCGGCCACACUGGAACUGAGACACGGUCCAGACUCCUACGGGAGGCAGCAGUAGGGAAUCUUCCGCAAUGGGCGAAAGCUUGGCGGAGCAACGCCGCGUGAGUGAUGAAGGUCUUCGGAUCGUAAAACUCUGUUAUUAGGGAAGAACAAAUGUGUAAGUAACUAUGCACGUCUUGACGGUACCUAAUCAGAAAGCCACGGCUAACUACGUG
This 497-nucleotide ribosomal RNA is filed under the name uncultured bacterium. RNAcentral describes it as "partial 16S ribosomal RNA". It matches the Rfam family "Bacterial small subunit ribosomal RNA", at positions 28 to 507 of the family's 1533-position model. The record is from RNAcentral.